UACGGAGGGGACUAGCGUUGUUCGGAAUUACUGGGCGUAAAGCGCACGUAGGCGGAUUUGUAAGUCAGGGGUGAAAUCCCGGGGCUCAACCUCGGAACUGCCUUUGAUACUGCAAAUCUCGAGUCCGGAAGAGGUGAGUGGAAUUCCUAGUGUAGAGGUGAAAUUCGUAGAUAUUAGGAAGAACACCAGUGGCGAAGGCGGAUCUCUGGGCCUUACCUGACGCUCAGGCGCGAAAGCUAGGGGAGCGAACAGG
RNAcentral lists this ribosomal RNA (253 nucleotides) under uncultured bacterium. RNAcentral's name for it is "partial 16S ribosomal RNA". It matches the Rfam family "Bacterial small subunit ribosomal RNA", at positions 524 to 776 of the family's 1533-position model. The record is from RNAcentral.